GAUGAACGCUGGCGGCGUGCCUAAUACAUGCAAGUCGAGCGAAAAGACGCGGAGCUUGCUGGUCUGACGUUAGGGGCGGACGUGUGAGUAACGCGUGGAUAACCUACCUAUCAGAGUGGGAUAACUUCGAGAAACCGGCGAUAAUACCGGAUAAUAUAUUGAACCGCGUGGUUCAAUGGUGAGAUACGGUUUUGCUGUCACUUCUAGCUGGAUCUGCGCCGCAUUAGCUAGUCGGUACGGUAACAGCUUACCAAGGCAACGAUGCGUGGCCGACCUGAGAGGCUGAUCGGCCGCCCUGGAGCUUAGCCACGGUCCAGACUCCUACGGGAGGCAGCAGUAGGGAACGUUCCGCAAUGGGCGGAAGCCUGACGGAGCAGGGCCGCGUGAGUGGUGAAGGUCUUCGGAUCGUAAUGCUCUGUUAUUAGGUAAGAACAAAUUUGGACGUAACUAUGCCCGUCGUGACGGUACCUAGUCAGAAAGCCCCGGCUAACUACGUG
This 497-nucleotide ribosomal RNA is filed under the name uncultured bacterium. RNAcentral's name for it is "partial 16S ribosomal RNA". It matches the Rfam family "Bacterial small subunit ribosomal RNA", at positions 28 to 507 of the family's 1533-position model. The record is from RNAcentral.